This 459-nucleotide ribosomal RNA is filed under the name uncultured bacterium. RNAcentral describes it as "partial 16S ribosomal RNA". It matches the Rfam family "Bacterial small subunit ribosomal RNA", at positions 338 to 795 of the family's 1533-position model. The record is from RNAcentral.
CCUACGGGAGGCUGCAGUGAGGAAUAUUGGUCAAUGGCCGGAAGGCUGAACCAGCCAAGUCGCGUGAGGGACGACUGCGCUAUGGAUUGUAAACCUCUUUUAUCAGGGAAGAAUAAAUGCUCCGUGUGGCAUGCUGCCUGUACCUUAUGAAUAAGCAUCGGCUAACUCCGUGCCAGCAGCCGCGGUAAUACGGAGGAUGCGAGCGUUAUCCGGAUUUAUUGGGUUUAAAGGGUGCGUAGGCGGUUUUUUAAGUUAGUGGUUAAACGUCGGGGCUUCACCUUGAUUUGCCAUUAAUACUGUAAGACUCGAGUUGAGACGAGGUAGGCGGAAUAAGUUAAGUAGCGGUGAAAUGCUUAGAUAUAACGCAGAACUCCGAUAGCGAAGGCAGCAUACCAGACGGCGACUGACGCUGAAGCACGAGAGCGUGGGUAGCGAACAGGAUUAGAUACCCUAGUAGUC